Molecule: long non-coding RNA, 1722 nt
Filed under: Paramuricea clavata
Lineage: Eukaryota; Metazoa; Cnidaria; Anthozoa; Malacalcyonacea; Plexauridae
Source: RNAcentral
CCGGAUUUCUGAGUCAAAUAAUUUUUUGGCUGACCGAAAAAAAUUUUUCGUCAUAGACCAACUUAGAAAGGUUCAAAACGCAUAUUAACGGAGAUAGGUUUGGCUCGGGGGAAUUUUAAAGCACAUUUUCACAUGGCUAUCAUAGCACUGAGCCGUAUGCAAAUGAUUCCUUGCCCGUCCCGAUUACUAUAAAUUACACUACGCUUGCCCGUCCAUUAAUAUAAAUUACACUACGCUUGCCCGUUGCCCGGAUUUCGGAGCCAAAUAAAUUUUUGGCUGAGCCUUUCACGAGCCCUAUGAUGCAAAGUACCGCCAAAAUUAGCUAUACCAAUUUUCGGAUGACGUUGUCAAAAACGUCUCACUAUUACUGUACCAUCAUGCAGUUUGGACGCAUGUCCAGGGGGGACUGCUUCUGUUUAGGGUACUUGCUGAGUGACGAAUCAUGACGAAUGUAACGCUUACGCAAAAAACAAUGGAGAUGGACUUCUGUGUAGUAUUCCGUCGUUGAACGAAACCUCGCAAGCGUGGCAAUAUGUUUUCAGAUUAGCCGUUUUUAUGAGCCGUACUGAGCCCAGCUGGGGGAGUUUGACUAAUGGUCGAGGGUAAAAUGUCGAGGGUUGGGAAAAAAUGUCGAGGGUCUGAAGAAUAUCAAAAAAAUACUUUUAAAAUUUGGUAUUCUAUUUAAUAGUCCGAAAAUUUUUUUUCGCCUGCGUUUGAUUUACACACGAGUAAAACUCAAAUUAGCCAUCCGAAGUUGAUGAGUGGACUGGGGACGAGUGUUAAAAAGUGUCCAAAUUAAGAAAUGAACCAAAUCACUAAAAAGACCACCUCAAAAUUAGUAAGUAUACAAAGUUUGAAGACGUUUGCAUGAAUAUCCUUCGAAUAAUAAGCUUUCAAAAAUUAUGAAAUUACUGAUUAAAAGAUUGUUUUUGGGACGCGCGUUCCAAAAACAAAAAUCACAGUGCAUUUCAUAGUAAAUAUCUCGAAAGCUUAUUAUUCAAAGGAUAUUCCUGUAAAGGUCUUCAAGCUUUGUAUACUUACUAAUUUUGAGGUGGUCUUUUUAGUGAUUUGGUUCAUUUCUUAAAUUGGGCACUUUUUAACACUCGUCCCCAGUCCACUCAUCAACUUCGGAAUGGCUAAUUGUAAGCAGACUAAGCAGGUUGCAUGCGACAGUUUUAGGAAAACGUAGUGUAGUGUAAGAAGGCGGAUUUACACUACACAACGUUUGCUAAAACUGCAGCAUGCAACCUGCAUCACAAUUCGCCUAUGUUGUCAUAUAUCAUCACCUCACUAUCUGGUGAAGCUAGAAACGUUUGCAUGCGUUUGAGUCUAAAACCAAUAGUUUUCAUACAACAGUAUUUGCUACAAAUGUGUAAAUUAGAGAUGAAGGACUUCAAAAAAUUUUACAAACUCCAGUGAUGAGUUAACCAAAACAAGACGAAAUAUUUGCCAUUAGGCAUUAUUUAAAUGUUACAUUAAAUAACGAAUUUACCUCAUUUUUGGAAAGACCAGGUUCUUCAAAAUGGUGAUAGUGGUAAAUUGAAAGAAUAUAAGAAACUUAAAGUAAAUGUGGGUAUUGAAAAAUACCUUUUAGAAAUUAAAAAUUUUAAGUACCGUCAAGCAGUUACAAGAUUACGAGUUUCAGCGCACAGAUUACCAGUAGAAACUGGCCUAUAUAAAAAAAUUGCCUACUGUGAUAGAAAAUGUAAACUUUGUGAUCAG